AUCACAGUUUGGGAGGUGACCCGACAUGCUUUGCAAGCAGGGGGUUAGGGGUUCGAGUCCCCUAGGCUCCA
Molecule: transfer RNA, 71 nt
Filed under: Nocardioides oceani
Lineage: Bacteria; Bacillati; Actinomycetota; Actinomycetes; Propionibacteriales; Nocardioidaceae
Description: tRNA-Ala
Source: RNAcentral